RNAcentral lists this ribosomal RNA (498 nucleotides) under Triticum aestivum (bread wheat). RNAcentral describes it as "partial small subunit ribosomal RNA". Lineage: Eukaryota; Viridiplantae; Streptophyta; Magnoliopsida; Poales; Poaceae. The record is from RNAcentral.
AUGCUUUGGAAGAAGCUUGUACAGUUUGGGAAGGGGUUUUUUGAGAGAAAAGAAGAAUCUACUUCAACCGAUAUGCCCUUAGGCACGGCCAUGCAUAACAUAGAAAUCACACGUGGAAGGGGUGGGCAAUUAGCUAGAGCAGCAGGUGCUGUAGCGAAACUCAUUGCAAAAGAGGGUAAAUCGGCCACUUUAAGAUUACCAUCUGGGGAGGUCCGUUUAGUAUCCCAAAACUGCUUAGCAACAGUCGGACAAGUGGGUAAUGUUGGGGUGAACCAAAAAAGUUUGGGCAGAGCCGGAUCUAAGUGUUGGCUAGGUAAACGCCCCGUAGUAAGAGGGGUAGUUAUGAACCCUGUGGACCACCCCCAUGGGGGCGGUGAAGGGAAAGCUCCCAUUGGUAGAAAAAAACCCACAACCCAUUGGGGUUAUCCUGCGCUUGGAAGAAGAACUAGGAAAAGGAAAAAAUAUAGCGAUAGUUUUAUUCUUCGUUGCCGUAAGUAA